CUCAGUCUCUCUCUCUCUCUCUCACUCUCAGUCCUCUUCAGCUCCGUCCUUCUCCGUCGCCGUUCCGUCGCACUCAUCCCUCUCUUCAGCUCCGUCGCCGUUCCAUCGCGUUCAUUCCCUCUCUUGAGCUCCGUCGCCGUCGGCCCUCCAUCUCGCUCCGGAGCACUUCCCGUCGCCGUCUGGUUUUCACAAACAAUUUCCAUUUAGGAAUAGGCUUGAAAAGGCUUCACAACAUAAGCUUUUAGAGAAGGUAGUUGCAUAGUGAUAUUGCAGUAUGGCUGCUGUUCCUGCUCAGCUCCCUGAUGAGUUUGGUCCUGGGCCCACUGACGAUUCGGUGUUAAGGUUUAUAAAAACACAUCGAGCGUGCGCUGUUUGGGAAGGCAAGGAUCCAGGGCCACUGAAAUGCCGCGGUCGUAAUGACGAGUUCCGAAAACGACGCCGGAUAGUGGUGGAUGAUCGUAUCGUCGACAUUGUGAAGAGAGUUGGAUUAGAGGGGCUGUAUAGGACCCCAAGUAGAGAGAUUGAUCAUAACCUGAUCACGGCCUUCGUUGAGCGAUGGCGGCCUGAAACCCACACCUUCCACCUGCCACAUGGUGAGACAACGAUCACAUUAC
Long non-coding RNA from Quercus lobata, 614 nucleotides. RefSeq lists it as uncharacterized. The transcript is spliced from 4 exons. Lineage: Eukaryota; Viridiplantae; Streptophyta; Magnoliopsida; Fagales; Fagaceae. The record is from RefSeq and is a predicted model, not a curated record.